RNAcentral lists this small RNA (179 nucleotides) under uncultured Prevotella sp. RNAcentral's name for it is "Bacteroidales-1 6S-Bacteroidales RNA suggested". It matches the Rfam family "Bacteroidales-1 6S-Bacteroidales RNA suggested". The record is from RNAcentral. Lineage: Bacteria; Pseudomonadati; Bacteroidota; Bacteroidia; Bacteroidales; Prevotellaceae.
UUGUGCCGGUUAGAUAGGGAUACUCAUCAAAUAACAUCGAAAACCGAAGCUGUAUCUCCUACCAAUGGCGGGCCACAUAAACGACUGUCGUCGCUAAGCUAUAAGCCGGUGGAUUACAAAGGAGGAGGACACUCAAAUCUUAUAGAUUCGGAGUUUUCAUCACAUCAUUGGCACGACUC